Molecule: non-coding RNA, 1426 nt
Organism: Chrysemys picta bellii (western painted turtle)
Lineage: Eukaryota; Metazoa; Chordata; Testudines; Emydidae
Source: RefSeq, a predicted model, not a curated record
CAGCGCCGAGGAGGAGGCGGCGCCGCCACCGCCGCCUUCCCCCGCCCCCUGCCCGGGGCCCUGGCGGCGAGCACAACAAAGCCCGGGACAGCGCGUACCGCGGCGGCCGGCCGCCUCCCUUCCUCCGGGACUGGGCCUGAUCCAAUGGCAACUAUUCCAGAGAAUUCCAGGCCUUUCAACACACCCUCCACUACGGGCACUCCAAAGCAGCAAGAGGAUUUAAGGAAGGGUAUCUGUAUCUUAAUGAACAAUCCAGCAAUUACAGUAGAGGCUGGAGGGGCAACUUUCAAAAGUGCCCUACAUUAAUGAAAGACAAUCCUGGAAUCAACACAACUACACUGCAUACCCUACAUUAAAUGAGAACGCUGUGUAGCUAAAAAUGGGCAAGGUACUCCCACUUAAAAUUAUGAGUUUGAGAUGCCAUUGUAAAAUUUCCAUGAAGAUUGAGAUCGAUAGGAAACUACUGGCUUUGUAAGCUGACUGCUAAUUAUAUUUGAUAUUAUUUCUGAUGCUCACCCAGCUUAUCUGAUAGUUUCAUUACAUAGGUCCCAUUCUGCUAAGGCAUUUGGCACUAGAAUACAAAUUAAAACCUAAUAAUCAAUAUUAAAAAGCCAAACAAAAAUUAUAUCCUCAGUACUUCUCACAUACUUUCCUGCUAAUUUUGUAUUGCUUUGUACACCCAUACAAGUUGAGGUCUCAAUUAUCUGGCUUAGUGCAAGAGACUCCAGCAUAUCUUUUCUGCUUCAAUAACUAUCUCCAGUGCAAUAGUUGAUUUGAUUAGAAGACUACAUUCUUGCCUUUAAGGUGAAUGUUGUGGCUUUUUAUUUUUAAUUUGGUCCAUUUAAUAAACUAUUGUUUUUCCAUAGGGUUUCCUUCAGUACAACUCUAUCAUAGCACUGGGUUGUAUUGGACCUAAAGAAACCACCCAGUUUUGGAGUCCCAUACUAUUCUUCCAGCUGAGAAGGACAGAUGGCAGCACUCCCAGCCCAGGGUACGAGAAAAUGGGAUCAGAAAUUGAAUGUAGCAGGACUUCCACUGGGCUAUCCAUUAUGUUAAACUAGUCUAAUGUUUUUAAUAUUUCAUUUCAUUUUGUUUAUUUUUAAAAGUACUAUUGUAAGACUAUAUAGGGCAGAGAGGGAAGCUCAUAUUGACGUAAUACCAGUGUAUGACACCUACCUUUAAAAUACAACCUUCAAUUGAUAACAUGCUGUACAGCACUACACAGAAACUAUAUAAAUGUUUAUUAGCAGAUAGAGCUGUCAUAUCUCUUCAGGGCAAAGAUUGUGUCUUAUAGGUUUGGACAAUGCCUUGGACAUUGUGCCACAAUUCAAUCAAUUCAAUGAACAAUCUGUUUAAAUCCACAUAGGACCUUGCUAUCUGCUGGAUUUGAUUUCAGAAUCAAGUGAUCAUUAAAAAACAAACAAAA